GUCGCACGAGUUCCACUCGUGGCAUAUAGCUCCGUAACACGUGGCCAAACUACCCUUCGGAGACGCAUAACCUCGGGAAACUGAGGCUAAUUCGUCACACGGCUUUCAACCUGGAAUGAUGAAAGCCCCAAACGCUCCGGCGCCGAAGGAUGUGGCUGCGGCCGAUUAGGUAGACGGUGGGGUAACGGCCCACCGUGCCGAUAAUCGGUACGGGUUGUGAGAGCAAGAACCCGGAGACGGAAUCUGAGACAAGAUUCCGGGCCCUACGGGGCGCAGCAGGCGCGAAACCUUUACACUGCACGACAGUGCGAUAAGGGGACCCUGAGUGCACAGGCAUAGUGCCUGUGCUUUUCUCGACCGUAGGGAGGUCCAGGAACAAGAGCUGGGCAAGACCGGUGCCAGCCGCCGCGGUAAUACCGGCAGCUCGAGUGAUGGCCGAUCUUAUUGGGCCUAAAGCGUCCGUAGCUGGCCAAGCAAGUCCGUCGGGAAAUCCACGUGCUCAACAUGUGGGCGACCGGCGGAAACUGCCCGGCUUGGGACCGGAAGGCGCGACGGGUACGUCCAGGGUAGGAGUGAAAUCCCGUAAUCCUGAACGGACCGCCGAUGGGGAAACCACGUCGCGAAACGGAUCCGACAGUGAGGGACGAAGCUAGGGUCUCGAACCGGAUAAAUACCCGGGUAGCCUAGCCGUAACGAUGCUGUUAGGGGGGGCCCCGCUACAACGGGUGCUGUGCCGAAGGGAACCGCUAACAGGCGCCUGGGAAGACGUCCGCAGGAUGAACUUAAGGAAUUGGCGGGGAGCCUACAACGGAGGAGCUGCGGUUAUUGGACUCACGCCGGAAUCUCCCAGAUC
Molecule: ribosomal RNA, 853 nt
Filed under: Halopenitus sp.
Lineage: Archaea; Methanobacteriati; Methanobacteriota; Halobacteria; Halobacteriales; Haloferacaceae
Description: bacterial SSU rRNA
Rfam family: Archaeal small subunit ribosomal RNA
Source: RNAcentral